CGCGUAGGCGGUUUUAUAAGUCAGAUGUGAAAGCCCUCGGCUCAACCGGGGACGUGCAUUUGAAACUGUGAGACUUGAGUAUUGGAGGGGGUGGUGGAAUUCCCGGUGUAGAGGUGAAAUUCGUAGAUAUCGGGAGGAAUACCGGUGGCGAAGGCGACCACCUGGCCAAAUACUGACGCUGAGGUGCGAAAGCGUGGGGAGCAAACA
Molecule: ribosomal RNA, 207 nt
Filed under: uncultured delta proteobacterium
Lineage: Bacteria; Deltaproteobacteria
Description: partial 16S ribosomal RNA
Rfam family: Bacterial small subunit ribosomal RNA
Source: RNAcentral